RNAcentral lists this transfer RNA (73 nucleotides) under Salmo salar (Atlantic salmon). It matches the Rfam family "tRNA". Rfam says of the family: Transfer RNA (tRNA) molecules are approximately 80 nucleotides in length. The record is from Rfam by way of RNAcentral. Lineage: Eukaryota; Metazoa; Chordata; Actinopteri; Salmoniformes; Salmonidae.
UUCCCUGUAGCUCAGUUGGUAGAGCAUGGUGUUUGCAACGCCAGGGUUGUGGGUUUGAUUCCCACGGGGGGGG